RNAcentral lists this ribosomal RNA (279 nucleotides) under uncultured bacterium. Its description in RNAcentral is "partial 16S ribosomal RNA". It matches the Rfam family "Bacterial small subunit ribosomal RNA", at positions 506 to 784 of the family's 1533-position model. The record is from RNAcentral.
UGCCAGCCGCCGCGGUAAUACGGAGGGGGUUAGCGUUGUUCGGAAUUACUGGGCGUAAAGCGCGCGUAGGCGGAUUGGAAAGUUAGAGGUGAAAUCUUGCCGCUUAACGGUAAAAUUGCCAUUGAUACUGAAGUUCUUGAAUGUAGUUGAGGUAGGCGGAAUGUGUUGUGUAGCGGUGAAAUGCAUAGAUAUGACACAGAACGCCAAUUGCGAAGGCAGCUUACUAAGCUACGAUUGACGCUGAGGUGCGAAAGCGUGGGGAGCAAACAGGAUUAGAUA